UACGUAGGGACCGAGCGUUGUCCGGAUUCAUUGGGCGUAAAGAGCUCGUAGGCGGCUGCUCAAGUCGAAUGUGAAAACUCGAGGCUCAACCUCGAGCCUGCAUUCGAUACUGGGCGGCUAGAGUCUGGUAGGGGGAUCUGGAAUUCCUGGUGUAGCGGUGGAAUGCGCAGAUAUCAGGAGGAACACCAGUGGCGAAGGCGACUCUCUGGUCUGUAACUGACGCUGAGGCGCGAAAGCGUGGGGAGCAAACAGG
RNAcentral lists this ribosomal RNA (253 nucleotides) under uncultured bacterium. Its description in RNAcentral is "partial 16S ribosomal RNA". It matches the Rfam family "Bacterial small subunit ribosomal RNA", at positions 524 to 776 of the family's 1533-position model. The record is from RNAcentral.